This 440-nucleotide ribosomal RNA is filed under the name uncultured bacterium. RNAcentral's name for it is "partial 16S ribosomal RNA". It matches the Rfam family "Bacterial small subunit ribosomal RNA", at positions 338 to 795 of the family's 1533-position model. The record is from RNAcentral.
CCUACGGGUGGCAGCAGUGGGGGAUAUUGCACAAUGGGGGAAACCCUGAUGCAGCGACGCCGCGUGUGGGAAGACGGUCCUCUGGAUUGUAAACCACUGUCCCCAGGGACGAAGAUGACGGUACCUGGGGAGGAAGCUCCGGCUAACUACGUGCCAGCAGCCGCGGUAAUACGUAGGGAGCGAGCGUUGUCCGGAAUUACUGGGUGUAAGGGGAGCGUAGGCGGGACUGCAAGUUGGGUGUAAAAUCUACCGGCUCAACCGGUAGCCGCACUCAAAACUGCAGUUCUUGAGUGAAGUAGAGGCAGGCGGAAUGCCUAGUGUAGCGGUGAAAUGCGUAGAUAUUAGGAGGAACACCAGUGGCGAAGGCGGCCUGCUGGGCUUUUACUGACGCUGAGGCUCGAAAGUGUGGGGAGCAAACAGGAUUAGAUACCCCAGUAGUC